Molecule: small RNA, 1721 nt
Filed under: Pan troglodytes (chimpanzee)
Lineage: Eukaryota; Metazoa; Chordata; Mammalia; Primates; Hominidae
Description: retained intron
Source: RNAcentral
CAUAGCCACGUUAACUGUGACAAGGAAGCCCAUAAUCUGCUUAAGGUCACAGCAAAUUUCAAUACAUUUUGCAGCUGUCCCCCAAAAGGGAUUAAAACUUGUUCUCACCUUAAAUAAUUUAAUCACCUGAAUUAUGUGCUUUAUUGCUUAUUUGAAAUAUGGCAGUAAAUUAGAAAGUAGGUGCUUUAAUUGUAGCUUUAUGCCUUUGGGAUAAGAAUAAUUGGAAGUCUGUGAAUGUUUGGUUUGGGGACUGGGGAGCCAAGGGUAGAAGCUAUAUUGGUAUAUCUGUCUCUCACUGAACUUUGAAAUCCCAGUAAUGUCUUAUAUAUGGUGGGAACACAAGAAAUAUUUGUUGGAUGCAUUUACUUGGAAGGGAAAUGUUAAUUGUUUUGCUGUAGUACAUCAUCUUGUAGUCAGCAUUUCUGGGUUCGAUUUUUGCAUGAAAACAUGUGUUUAUGUGUGCCUAGUCCCUAAAUACCAUGAAGAUUUACAUUGCCUUAUGCAACUGGAUAUUUUCCAAAUGUAGACUGUUCUUUGUUAGCUCUAUAUGAGGUCAGAAAAGAAAAACAAUAAUAAAGGAAACAAAAUUGCUUUUCUUGUCCAGGACUUUUUUUAUGAAGACAUGGAGUCCUUGACGCAGAUGCUUAGGGCCUUGGCAACAGAUGGAAAUAAACACCGGGCCAAAGUGGACAAGAGAAAGCAGCGGUCAGUUUUCAGAGAUGUCCUGAGGGCAGUGGAGGAACGGGAUUUUCCAACAGAAACCAUUAAAUUUGGUCCUGAACGCAUGUAUAUUGAUUGCUGGGUAAAAAAACACACCUAUGACACCUUUAAGGAGGUUCUUGGAUCAGGGAUGCAGUACCACUUGCAGUCAAAUGAAUUCCUUCGAAAUGUAUUUGAACUUGGACCCCCAGUGAUGCUUGAUGCUGCAACGCUUAAAACGAUGAAGAUUUCUCGUUUCGAAAGGCAUUUAUAUAACUCUGCAGCCUUCAAAGCUCGAACCAAAGCUAGAAGCAAAUGUCGAGAUAAGAGAGCAGAUGUUGGAGAAUUCUUCUAGAUUUUCAGAACUUGAAGACUAUUUUCUAAUUUCUUUUUUUUUUUCUAUUUCAAUGUAUUUAAACUCUAGACACAGUUUUUAUCUUGGAUUAACUUAGAUAACUUUUGUAGCAGUGGUUAUAUUGCUUAUAAUUUAAUGUACAAUACUAUUGAAACUGGUGAGUUCUGAUUAUUAAAUAUUCUCUGUAAAUCAGUAAACAUGUAUAAAGUAUUUGUAAUGUUUGGUCAUAAUUUAUUUAUGAAGACAGCAAAAGACUGAUUUCAUGAUGGGGAAAACAAUUAGCCAAAGUUUAAUUUCUUACACUGUGGUUGUCAAGAAUACUGAUUUACUAUAAUGAUAUAUACAUGCAAGAUAUUUAACUUAAUAUCUUAGAUAAGAGUUCUGGGUACAAUUUUGGGAUCUAGUUCCCCUGGAAAAGCUGCUGUAUUUUUAAUUUUUAAUGGAAUGUAGCUUUUAAAAUCCUGUCACUGGCAUCAACAAAAGGAAUUAUACUAUGAGACCUUAUAGCUGUACUUAAAAGCCAUUCAGUUCAGCUAUUGGGAGUUCAUGAUGAAUUAGCAUAUGCCAGAAAGGUUGCUAACCUUAACAUCUGAGAGCAGUAACACUGAUUUUAUCUGCUGUAUGAGACUUUGUGCAUUUUACUUUGAAAUAAAGAUUUUUUUCCACA